This is a long non-coding RNA of Wyeomyia smithii (pitcher-plant mosquito), 2046 nucleotides long. RefSeq lists it as uncharacterized. The transcript has 3 exons. The record is from RefSeq and is a predicted model, not a curated record. NCBI's taxonomy places the organism in Eukaryota, Metazoa, Arthropoda, Insecta, Diptera, Culicidae.
AUCCAUUCUUUUAGUAUAUAUUAUUAUUUAUAACGUUUUAACAUCUCAGCAUCCAGAAAUGCACUGUUAGAUAAAAUUGCAGCAAAUACUAGAGUUGCAAUUCUCUCUAUUAUUUGUUUUAAUGGAAUAUAAGAAUACCGUAGUCCAACGUCAUGCGGUCGUGUCUUGAAUACCACCCUCUUACUUUUUGAACGUUCCAUACCGUUGAUGCCAGAAUGAUUAUUUUUAACAACUUCUGCAGGUCAAUGAAAAUAAAACAAAUUGAAAUUGCAAUAUAUGGGCGAAAAAUACUCAAUUUUUAUUUAUUAUUUUAUGUUCAAUAAAGCAUACUUCUACUAUCAAUGUUUUCUUCCUAAGUUUCUUGGACUUCAACCGAAAUAGUAAAAAAACAAUUAAUCAAUGCAUUUUUAAAGUUAUAACAGUGAAAUACAUUACUCGGUAAUAUCAUGUACCUUGCAUGCUUUUGCAUCAUUAUUUAUGAACAAUUAUAAUAGCUAAAUUAUGGCUCUCCAGCAUCACUGCUUCACAGUGAAAAGUAACCUCGUUGUAUUUUCUACGUGACGAUUGCGUUAUCGGAUUCAGCCAAUCAGCAGCCGGUUCAAAUUGGUUGAAUGUAACGGUGACCAGCUGUCGCGUCUUGUCUUAGGUUGGAACAUAGACUAAAGAGUUUCAAUAAUUUAGGUAAUUAAUUAAGGUAAUUGCUAUCUUUUUAGGCUUGGUCAGAUUUGUGCGGUGUUUUUAACAGACUAAUCUAUAUGGUCUAGAUAAUAACAAUAAUUUAUCACAACAGGACUAAAAUAAAUGUCAAUGUGUGAGAUGACCAUGAUAUAAAUUAUUUAUUUUGAUGAUAGUAUGACUAAUCGUUCAUAGUCGUUUCAACAAUAUGUUUUUAAGCAUAACCAAAGAUGACAAGUACACAAUACGUUACUCUUGCAGUAUGCAGCGGACACGAGUUUCGCUACGCGUGAACGAAAAUUGAACUAAUUUGUAUACUGUUAAUUUGGUGAUGACGACAAGGUGGUGAAAGGUGAAGCAUGUUUUUCAAUAUCAUUGUAUGGUCCUAUCAUCUAAUUUUCAAUAUCCUUAUACGAUAUUGCCAUUCUGUUUUUGUUUUCAUCUAGCGGAUUGAGCAUGAUAAAUCGAUUUUGCUAAUAAUCACAGUUUUAAGGUCAUCAGAUGGCACCGUUAUAAAGGUGUUGCAAGCAAAAUGUAUGAAGUCAGGUAUCUUGCUCUAGUCAUCAUUAGCAUAACUCAUUUGUUGUUUGUACCAAUUUUAAUAGUCGAUUGAGAACCAAAUCAUCUAGAUUAUAUUGUAAAGUCGAUUGAAAACCGCCGUACAAAUCUGAUUGAAAGUAACAUGAUAUUUUUCUGGGUGUGAGAAUCUGGUCAAGCUCACUAUCUGAAACAAGUCGACAUAUAUUCUCUAUUGAAUUCGUCCAAUGAAUUUCACAUAUCAAAAGAUCUCUCAAUUUUAUAUGAUUCCAUUAGAAAUCCAUUUAUAAAUUAAAUGUGAUACAAUAAUUUUUACGAAUCGCACAAUGAAAUAAUUAUUAUCGGAUUUUCACAUCCAUUUUAUUUGAUAUUCAUUUACGUCUAACAUGUGCCGCAAAAAUUUGAAUUUACCGGCAAUAUUGCGGAAUACAUUUUAUAAAGUAAAUAUAUAAAACCGCCAUGUUUCGAAACCAACAUAAAUCUUAUUGAUAAAUCUAAUGAAAAACACACGUCGCCGCACUUCUUGUCAGUUCUUCAGUACUUGUGAAAUUUUGUUUUGACGUUUGGAUUUGGUAUCGAAUAAUCCAGAUGGUUAUUCAAAAUGGCUACACCACGAAAAGACGGCGUCUUAUUGGGCGAUUGGAAGGAUAUUUGCUUAUCUCCAAUGGAUUACACCGAAGAAUUUGGCACUUAUCAAAUCGUAGGGCAAACAACGAACAGAUAAUUGGAACUGGGAUCAAGUGGCCGACGUUGAACCGGAUUGCCGUUCAACAGUCAACAACCAAUCACAAAUUUGCUAAAUAUUAUAUAUUUUAUAUUUUUAUAAUAAAUUCU